RNAcentral lists this ribosomal RNA (253 nucleotides) under uncultured bacterium. RNAcentral describes it as "partial 16S ribosomal RNA". It matches the Rfam family "Bacterial small subunit ribosomal RNA", at positions 524 to 776 of the family's 1533-position model. The record is from RNAcentral.
UACGUAGGGGGCAAGCGUUAUCCGGAUUUACUGGGUGUAAAGGGAGCGUAGACGGUGAAGCAAGUCUGGAGUGAAAGCCCGGGGCCCAACCCCGGGACUGCUCUGGAAACUGUAUCACUAGAGUACAGGAGGGGCAGGCGGAAUUCCUGGUGUAGCGGUGAAAUGCGUAGAUAUCAGGAGGAACACCGGCGGCGAAGGCGGCCUGCUGGACUGAGACUGACGUUGAGGCUCGAAAGCGUGGGGAGCAAACAGG